CCUACGGGAGGCAGCAGUGGGGAAUAUUGCACAAUGGGGGAAACCCUGAUGCAGCGACGCCGCGUGAGUGAAGAAGUAUCUCGGUACGUAAAGCUCUAUCAGCAGGGAAGAAAAUGACGGUACCUGACUAAGAAGCCCCGGCUAACUACGUGCCAGCAGCCGCGGUAAUACGUAGGGGGCAAGCGUUAUCCGGAUUCACUGGGUGUAAAGGGAGCGUAGACGGCCAUGCAAGCCAGGGGUGAAAGCCCGGGGCGCAACCCCGGGACUGCCCUUGGAACUGUGCGGCUAGAGUGCGGGAGGGGCAGGCGGAAUUCCUGGUGUAGCGGUGAAAGGCGUAGAUAUCAGGAGGAACACCGGCGGCGAAGGCGGCCUGCUGGACCGCGACUGACGUUGAGGCUCGAAAGCGUGGGGAGCGAACAGGAUUAGAUACCCCGGUAGUC
RNAcentral lists this ribosomal RNA (440 nucleotides) under uncultured bacterium. RNAcentral's name for it is "partial 16S ribosomal RNA". It matches the Rfam family "Bacterial small subunit ribosomal RNA", at positions 338 to 795 of the family's 1533-position model. The record is from RNAcentral.